RNAcentral lists this ribosomal RNA (1782 nucleotides) under Triticum aestivum (bread wheat). RNAcentral describes it as "partial small subunit ribosomal RNA". The record is from RNAcentral. Lineage: Eukaryota; Viridiplantae; Streptophyta; Magnoliopsida; Poales; Poaceae.
AUGACAACCAGCUCAAGCUCAUCUACAACGGCCCUUGUUGGAAGUAAACCCUGGCCUGACCCUUUCACCACCCCGCUUGUCAAUCACAGGACUACUUACAACAGUAGCCAGUAUGGAGUUCUUGAGCAGACAGGCCGGUUUGCCGCUAGCAACAACUUCAAAUUUGCAGCUUCUGAUCUUGGUGGUAAUGUUAUGAGGAGGUUGACUCUGGAUUACGAUGGCAAUCUCAGGCUGUACAGCCUGAACGCGACCACCGGCGGCUGGUCGGUCUCUUGGAUGGUGUUCCGCGGAGUCUGCAACAUUCAUGGACUCUGCGGCAAAAACAGCCUCUGCAAGUACAUACCCAAGCUCCAGUGCUCUUGCCUCGGAGGCUUUGAGGUGGUCGAUGCAAGCGACUGGAGCAAAGGGUGCAGGCGCAAGGCAAACCUCAGGGCCACCCAGGAUUUCUCAUUCAGAAAGGUCGCGGGAGCAGAUUUCAUCGGGUAUGACUUGCUCUACUGGGAGCGGGUGACAAUUCGUAACUGCAAAGAUUUGUGCUUGGACAAUGCUAAUUGCCAAGCCUUUGGUUACCGGCAGGGAGAAGGCAAAUGUUUCAGAAAGGUCUAUCUUUUUAACGGCAAGAACUUUCCAAACCCUCACACUGACAUUUAUCUUAAAGUUCCCGGGGGAGUGUUGUCUUCGUCAGAAUUGGCUUCUACGGUAACCCAUGCAUGCAAAGUUCAUCAAAAGGAGGCCAACACUUCAUCGCUAAUGUUCCAGGAUGGCUCUUCUAACUUCAAGUUUGGCUACUUCCUUUCUUCUGCAUUGACACUGCUUUUCAUUGAAGUUAUAUUAAUCAUCGCCGGGUGUUGGGUUGUUCACAAAUGGGAGGGAAGACCAGAGAUUAUAGAUGAAGGUUACACGAUAAUUUCCAGCCAGUUCCGAAUAUUUAGCUACAGGGAGUUACAGAAGGCAACCAAUUGCUUCCAAGAAGAGCUAGGAAGUGGUGGAUCAGGAGCAGUUUACAAGGGAGUUCUCGAUGAUGAAAGGAAGGUCGCAGUGAAGAAGCUAAACGAUGUGAUCCAAGGAGAGCAGGAGUUCAGGUCUGAAAUAAGUGUCAUAGGCAGAAUUUAUCCUAUGAAUCUCGUCAGAAUUUGGGGGUUUUGUGUUGAGAAUGGUUCCUUGGCCACAGUUCUUUUUGAUUACCAGAGCAAUUCUCCUGUGCUCCGAUGGGGCCAAAGGUACAAUAUUGCACUUGGGGUGGCAAAAGGACUGGCCUAUCUCCAUCAUGAGUGUCUUGAAUGGAUUGUGCACUGCGAUGUCAAGCCAGAGAACAUAUUGUUAGAUAGAGAGUUUCAGCCCAAGAUUGCAGAUUUUGGACUGAUGAAGCUACAACAGCGAGGGUCAAGCGCACAAAUGUUGUCAAAAGUGCAUGGGACUAGAGGCUACAUUGCACCAGAAUGGGCUCUAAAUCUUCCGAUCAAUGGUAAGGCCGAUGUUUACAGCUACGGCGUGAUGCUUCUUGAGUUAGUGAAGGGGGUUCCUCUUUCCAGAUGGGUGGUUGAGGGCGAGGAGGAGGUUGAAAUGGCUGGCAUAUGCUCUAUUGAAAUCCUUAAAGAAAAACUAGCAGACGAAGACCAAUCAUGGCUUCUGGAGUUUGUCGACCACAGACUGGACGGAGAAUUCAACCAUUCAGAAGCGAUAGUAAUGCUAAAGAUAGCAAUAUCAUGUGUGCAAGAGGAGAGGAGCAGAAGACCGAGCAUGAGCCAUGUGGUCGAAACUCUGCUUUCACUUAUGGAAUAA